GAAACCAAUUCGGAAGUUCCACUUCUGCCAUUGGACAAAGUGACCAUUAACACGAAAACUUGGACCUUCAGGUUGAAGAAUAAGUAGAGGUUUGAUAUCACUCCGAUCAGCACCUCCUCGUGUUUCUCCGGGAGUGUAGUUUCUUAAAGGAUCAGCUGGAGGCAGAGGGACCAAUUUUCUAUCUUCAAACUCAACCAUCACCAUAUUUUGAAUGUCAACAAGCACAUGAAUCCCUUCAACAGGGCGCGCAUAUCCAUUCUCCAUAGGGCAGUCACUUUCAGUUCUGCAGAAGAUUAAAGGUUUUGCAAGCCUGCGACUAGGAGCAUCAGCAUCACUAUGGUAACCAACACACCAGGCAUCGACCAUAACGAGAUCCAUAUCUUCGAUACCUCUUCUUUUCAUUGCCUCUU
This 410-nucleotide unclassified non-coding RNA is filed under the name Hevea brasiliensis (rubber tree). The record is from RNAcentral. Lineage: Eukaryota; Viridiplantae; Streptophyta; Magnoliopsida; Malpighiales; Euphorbiaceae.